ACGGAGGGCGCAAGCGUUACUCGGAAUCACUGGGCGUAAAGAGCGUGUAGGCGGAUAAAUAAGUUGGGAGUGAAAUCCUAUGGCUCAACCAUAGAACUGCUUCCAAAACUGUAUAUCUAGAAUAUGGGAGAGGUAGAUGGAAUUUCUGGUGUAGGGGUAAAAUCCGUAGAGAUCAGAAGGAAUACCGAUUGCGAAGGCGAUCUACUGGAACAUUAUUGACGCUGAGACGCGAAAGCGUGGGGAGCAAACAGG
This 252-nucleotide ribosomal RNA is filed under the name uncultured bacterium. RNAcentral's name for it is "partial 16S ribosomal RNA". It matches the Rfam family "Bacterial small subunit ribosomal RNA", at positions 525 to 776 of the family's 1533-position model. The record is from RNAcentral.